AAGCCGCACCACAUACGGUGGAGCAUUUCGUUCCUCUAAGAUGAGACCAUUCCAUCAAAUCGAGUUGAAAGGGGAGGAUGAUUCAUCUAAAACGGGCAAUCACCAGAAAUCUGCACAAGAUUUUGCUGACUUCAAUGAGUAUAUCACAGGGUUUUAUUUUCCUUUAGUUUUCGAUCUUGUCAAUCUUUGUAUCUACGAAGCAUAACAAAGGUGAAAUCUAAUAGAAUCGAGACCUGCUAAUGAUCGAGAAAGACUUUGUUUUUAUUUUUGGGAUUGGAAGGAUGGAUUUAUCACACCACUAAUUCAUUGAAAGAAGGAAAAUACACGACAAGAACAGUACCAAAAGAAAAAAGAAGAAGAAGAAGAGGCGCUCAUGAUCAGAGUAUACAA
This is a long non-coding RNA of Musa acuminata AAA Group (dessert banana), 390 nucleotides long. RefSeq lists it as uncharacterized. The transcript has 2 exons. The record is from RefSeq and is a predicted model, not a curated record. Lineage: Eukaryota; Viridiplantae; Streptophyta; Magnoliopsida; Zingiberales; Musaceae.